This 723-nucleotide ribosomal RNA is filed under the name uncultured Alphaproteobacteria bacterium. RNAcentral's name for it is "bacterial SSU rRNA". It matches the Rfam family "Bacterial small subunit ribosomal RNA", at positions 45 to 814 of the family's 1533-position model. The record is from RNAcentral. Lineage: Bacteria; Pseudomonadati; Pseudomonadota; Alphaproteobacteria.
GGCCUAACACAUGCAAGUCGAGCGCACCCUUCGGGGCGAGCGGCGGACGGGUUAGUAACGCGUGGGAACAUACCCUUUUCUACGGAAUAGCCUCGGGAAACUGAGAGUAAUACCGUAUAAGCCCUUCGGGGGAAAGAUUUAUCGGGAAAGGAUUGGCCCGCGUUAGAUUAGAUAGUUGGUGGGGUAAUGGCCUACCAAGUCUACGAUCUAUAGCUGGUUUUAGAGGAUGAUCAGCAACACUGGGACUGAGACACGGCCCAGACUCCUACGGGAGGCAGCAGUGGGGAAUCUUAGACAAUGGGCGCAAGCCUGAUCUAGCCAUGCCGCGUGUGUGAUGAAGGCCUUAGGGUCGUAAAGCACUUUCGCCAGAGAUGAUAAUGACAGUAUCUGGUAAAGAAACCCCGGCUAACUCCGUGCCAGCAGCCGCGGUAAUACGGAGGGGGUUAGCGUUGUUCGGAAUUACUGGGCGUAAAGCGUACGUAGGCGGAUCAGAAAGUAUAGGGUGAAAUCCCGAGGCUCAACCUCGGAACUGCCUUGUAAACUCCUGGUCUUGAGUUCGAGAGAGGUGAGUGGAAUUCCAAGUGUAGAGAUGAAAUUCGUAGAUAUUUGGAGGAACACCAGUGGCGAAGGCGGCUCACUGGCUCGAUACUGACGCUGAGGUACGAAAGUGUGGGGAGCAAANGGGAUUAGACACCCUGGUAGUCCACACCGUAAACGAUGAAU